Long non-coding RNA from Bombus huntii, 2205 nucleotides. RefSeq lists it as uncharacterized. Lineage: Eukaryota; Metazoa; Arthropoda; Insecta; Hymenoptera; Apidae. The transcript is spliced from 3 exons. The record is from RefSeq and is a predicted model, not a curated record.
UGUCAUUUAAAUAUGCAUGAAGCUGAGUGAUGAGUUUUGCGUAGACUGACACGCUGGCUCCCACGAACGUAGCGAGCUAUGUUUCGUCUUCUGACAUUGUGGAUUCCUGUGUUAGCUGGUUUUCGGAGAAUUCUUAGUGAUGCAGAAUUUGCGAUAUUUUUGACACGUAUUUUUCUGUUUGGUAAAAGGAGACCAUUUCAUUGUCGCAAGUGAUGAUAGGUAGAAUUUUUUAAAGGAGAUGAAGGAUGAUCCAAGCAAGGUGAUGUCGAGCCAUUGUUGAUCGUGGUUGAUUGUUUACGCGUUCGAUUAUAACGCACACCAUAAAUCUUGAAACAAAUGUACAAUGCCGCGAACAAGCGAUAAAUUCAAUUAUUGUAAUCAAUCAGAUAUGAAGCUCCGGAUCAUUAUGGAAAUGUAUUACAAGGAUUCUUUUCUAGAAAGGCUGGCAAAUCGGAUAUAGCGUCGCUAUUGUACUUGCGGCUAGCUGUUUAAACGUAUGCGACGUACAAUGUACUAAAACUGUCGUGACGUAGCCUCGAGGCACGAAGAAGGUACUGUGAAGUGAUUCAUUCGGCGAUCGAGAAGGAUUCGUGGAAAAGUGAGUGUACUUUCGUAAAACACGUAAGAAAGACAGAGUAUUAAUCUACACGAGGUUGCGAAUAAUAGUAUGACUAAUCGUUAGUUUCCUGUUUUCAAUGUGAAUAGGGGCCGUGUUCUUGAUAAAGUGACAAUUAUCAUUCUGUUGUUAGUUUAUUCAUUGCAAAUGACCAACUUCAGGAAAUUAUCUUUUAUGUACAUCCUUCAGUCGUAAUUGCCUUCGCGAUGUAGCGAGAUUGUAAAUUAAGGCGUCAAGUAGCGAGAUCGAUUAAUACUGGCAGUAGCGUGCAACGUUUUAUCUUUUUUCAAUGGAGACAUCAGCGUGUUUUACCUUUUUCAAUGGAAACGUCAGGCGAGAAUUCUAUCAUUCCAAGGGCUUUUUUUUCCCAAAGGGCAACAAUUUUAUGGGAUAUGCAACAUCAUGAUGAAAUUGGGAUUCUUAAAGAGUCUCUACAUUUGAAGGAUCAAUUCUAAGAAUCAUAAAAAUAAAAGUCGAAGAACGAAAGGAACGACAGAGGUGAGAAAAAAUGCAAGGAAUGAGACGAUAGGAAAAAGAGAAGAAAUCUUUGAGACUUCCAUUUCCAUAGGAUUAUAUUUAUUGUCAGAUAUUCGUUAUUAAAGGUAAACUUUAUCAUUAAGGUUAUUUCAUCGUGGAAUACUAGAAAUCAUCACCGCCUUUCCACUUUUCCCUUUCAACCACAGAAGCAUCCAAAACCGUCGUCGAGCAUUCUCAUCAACAUCAAUCAUUUUUCAUAGCAAUUCUCAUCAAUAUACUCCGCCGGCCUCCUUUUGCUCGUCAUUAGCACAAGAUAAACUCAAUUGCCGCAACCCAUAUACCCGGCCAUCAACCACGUUUCUCCAUCAUCCAUAUUUGCCGCUUCGAUCAUCCAGAAACGUUUCUCUCCUCUUCCUUUCUCGAUCAACCAUGUCAAACGCAUUGGUCCCACUUUAUGCGUGUGACCCAGUGAAUAGUUGAAACGUGCUCGGAGCAUUUACGAACUUUGAUCGUAAACGUGAUUCAUGAGUCGUAGUCGACCGUAUCGUAACCUUGAGCAACCGACGAAGGCCAAGGUGAGAACGCGCCAGCCACUUACUGCUCUCGAUGAAAACGAACGAACAGACUUACGCGGUUCAACGUUCGCCAUAAUUAGGGACCGGCUUGAUUUUUCCGAAAGCGUCGCCACUCAUCAUUCGUCAACCGUUGCUACCUGCUGGGUAAACCGCGGGAAACGCGAACACCUUGACGAGUUUCAACCGUCUGCCAUCUAAUGCGUCGACCAAUACAAUGACGGUUUUCGGAUUUCACGCUAAGAGAAAAUUGCCUUAGCCCCCAGGAGGUGAUGGAACAGCUUUCGUUACAAAAUAGUGUUUCCAUUAGUUCAAGUUUUAUUGUUAAAAUAUGUGUUUAUUACUGGAACUUUCGAGAAUUUUUACUUAUUUUUGAAUAGGUUUAUUAAUGUCACGAUUUUUAUUUAUUACUACCUGCACAUUGGGGUACCUCAAAAUUUUUCAUAAAGAAAAUUUCAUAAGAAAAUAGUAUAGAAAUUUCUAGUCUAUUUAUUAUUUUCUAUCGGAUGAUAUUAUUAUCAAUUUGAGCUUGUGUUUCAG